Molecule: ribosomal RNA, 497 nt
Filed under: uncultured bacterium
Lineage: Bacteria
Description: partial 16S ribosomal RNA
Rfam family: Bacterial small subunit ribosomal RNA
Source: RNAcentral
GAUGAACGCUGGCGGCGUGCCUAAUACAUGCAAGUCGAGCGAACGGACGAGAAGCUUGCUUCUCUGAUGUUAGCGGCGGACGGGUGAGUAACACGUGGAUAACCUACCUAUAAGACUGGGAUAACUUCGGGAAACCGGAGCUAAUACCGGAUAAUAUUUUGAACCGCAUGGUUCAAAAGUGAAAGACGGUCUUGCUGUCACUUAUAGAUGGAUCCGCGCUGCAUUAGCUAGUUGGUGAGGUAACGGCUUACCAAGGCAACGAUGCAUAGCCGACCUGAGAGGGUGAUCGGCCAGACGGGAACUGAGACACGGUCCAGACUCCUACGGGAGGCAGCAGUAGGGAAUCUUACGAGAUGGGCGAAAGCCUGACGGAGCAAAGCCGCGUGAGUGAUGAAGGUCUUCGGAUCGUAAAACUCUGUUAUUAGGGAAGAACAUAUGUGUAAGUAACUGUGCACAUCUUGACGGUACCUAAUCAGAAAGCCACGGCUAACUACGUG